This 72-nucleotide transfer RNA is filed under the name Ovis aries (sheep). It matches the Rfam family "tRNA". From Rfam's summary of the family: Transfer RNA (tRNA) molecules are approximately 80 nucleotides in length. Their secondary structure includes four short double-helical elements and three loops (D, anti-codon, and T loops). Further hydrogen bonds mediate the characteristic L-shaped molecular structure. tRNAs have two regions of fundamental functional importance: the anti-codon, which is responsible for specific mRNA codon recognition, and the 3' end, to which the tRNAs corresponding amino acid is attached (by aminoacyl-tRNA synthetases). tRNAs cope with the degeneracy of the genetic code in two manners: having more than one tRNA (with a specific anti-codon) for a particular amino acid; and 'wobble' base-pairing, i.e. permitting non-standard base-pairing at the 3rd anti-codon position. The record is from Rfam by way of RNAcentral. Lineage: Eukaryota; Metazoa; Chordata; Mammalia; Artiodactyla; Bovidae.
UCCCUGUUGGCUCGGAGGUUAAAGCAUCUGCCUGCAAUGCAGGAGACCUGGGUUUGAUCCCUGGGUCGGGAA